ACAGAACAAAGCUACCUGGAUUUAACCUGCAAUCCUCAGAGCUGACAAAUAGGAAAGAAGACGGCCACCAGUAAGACACUGUAUUGUGGGAUACCAGGUUUGAAAGCCAGGAGAAAGAAGGGCUCAUUUCUCAGGUAAGCUGUGCAGAGAAUGUCAUGCUCCCAAAACACCAAGUCUCUGCAGAGGACUAUGAAGUCAAAAGACACCUGAUACAGAGGUGCUGAAGUGGCAGUACUUUUAAAUCUGCUCUCACUAUGGGAACUGAUGACCUUUCUGGGACUAGAAGGAUAUCAGAAGAACCACAAGAAUUGGUGCACUGAUCUAUUUGAACACAUCUGAAAUUAAAUGGCAACAUUAACAAUAAAAUACUGCUGGGUGAGAAGCGCACAUCCUCUGCUUUAGCAAAAAA
Molecule: long non-coding RNA, 409 nt
Organism: Hirundo rustica (Barn swallow)
Lineage: Eukaryota; Metazoa; Chordata; Aves; Passeriformes; Hirundinidae
Exons: 3
Source: RefSeq, a predicted model, not a curated record